This 1806-nucleotide long non-coding RNA is filed under the name Xyrichtys novacula (pearly razorfish). Lineage: Eukaryota; Metazoa; Chordata; Actinopteri; Labriformes; Labridae. The record is from RNAcentral.
CAGAUUCUCCAUCGCGAUAGCUACAGGCUGUGCACUAACCUCUGGAUUUCGCUUUAUGUUGCCAGGUAAGAACAUAAAAUACUUUCUCUAAAGGUUGUUUUUUGAUACAGAUGUUAACUUUUCUCUACCAGUGUAUGGUCUGUUUCCAUUCAAUGAUUAGUCACUAUAACACAGGAAGCUAACGUUAGCUGCUAUUGUGAAACUAGCCACCCUAACCCGAUAAAAGUGGCUUAUCUUUAAUUUCAGCACGCUUAAUUUGUAUUUGAUAGCAAAAUUGAUUGUCAUCAUAAAUGUUGGAGUUACCUUAUUCCCAACAAACUGUUGAUUAAGGUUAGUGAUCCGAGUUUAAUGUCAGGCCAACUGCUGUGAUUGCUCAGUAGUUUGCUCCUUGUGUAAAUCUUGACAGUAAAGCACGUUGUCUUUACAAACUAAAACAAUUCAGGCUCAAAAAUGUCUGCUUACACUUGAAAAUGUGGUUGAAUUACUCUUCAGUUACUGGUAAGUUGUUUUUAUAUUUCUUCCAGUAAUCAACAAAUUUUGUCUUCCAGCUCAACUUCUGAUUGAAGGUGAGCUCAGACUGAAUGAUGAAUCUGGUACUGAGAUUGACGCAGACGUGUUUGAUGAGCUCAUAAAGUCGGGGACUCGAAACUUUGAGGUUGGAUACCGCCAGUGUGACGCUACAGGUAAAGGCUAUCAAACAAAUACUUACAAGGACUGACUCAGCUUUGGUUUGAUAUAUGUGCAAUUAUAUUUCUGUUUAUAUAGAAGAAACACUUUCUCAUUCCAGUUUAUUUUCAGGAAAACUGCUCUGAACAAAGUAUUUUAAUGGUAAGAUGAAGCCUCUUGAAGCAUUGAAGCUUUCCAUCCAAUUACUUGCCUCCUGGACCGAAGCUUCAUGAUUGCGCUUCAUUUGCUCUUUUGCGCCAUCAAGUGGACAGUAAAUGUAAAACAGGCAGAGUGAUAAACCAAAGACACCCCGAGACUUUGGUGCACGAAGCUUUGAAUUGAAUGAAUAAAUGGCUGUGAGGCCAUGUGUUUGUAAUACAAUACAAAAAUGAUAAAGUUAGUCAGUGUCAAAUAGGGAAAAGAGGACAUAAAUUAUGGAGAGGGUUGUGAUGUGAAUGUGCUUGUGAUACUUAGUUUGUUGUUUGUACUUUUGUAAUGGGGAAAACAUAUAAAACAUAAACAUUUCAUUAGUUUUUAUUUAAAAACAACUUUUCAACAAGUCUCGAGUCUAUGGCUUGUGAGUGGGGGAGGACUCCAUUGCGUUACGCUGCCUGUCAAAUCAUCCGCCAAACCUGCUAACUGUUUCUUGAAUCAGUCACGUGGUACAGCCGGGUAGCGAGGCUUCAGACUUCAUCAUUUUAGACCCCUCCCCUACAUGAAGCAAGCCUCGAUACGCGCUUCGCGGAAAUACCUCGGCACUGAAGGACACAUCACUACUCAUAAGCAACCUGUAAAUGGACAUUGUGGCUGGGAUACUGAUAUGUCUGCUCUCCUGCAGCUGUUACAUCUCCUACCCCCUACAUCAAGAGGUUACAAAAAAGGCAAGAUAAGCUCAGCACAGGCAUCUUGUGAGAUUUGUCAAGGUAUGUACCAUUGGCUUUUCAUACCACCAAAUCAUUUGUUCUAGAGUUGUGAGAAGUUUUUCUUACAGGUUGAUGUGGGCUUGCAACGAUUGAUUUUAAACUUAAGUGUGUUACAUUCAUUAUGUUUUUCUGAAUCUGUUUUGUUCAAACAGCAAGGAGCCAGCCUCACAACAUUCCUGGACAAAGCAAGACAACCCUUUCUUCUUGGCAUCAGAGG